This 1420-nucleotide long non-coding RNA is filed under the name Homo sapiens (human). RNAcentral describes it as "HSALNT0331154". The record is from RNAcentral. Lineage: Eukaryota; Metazoa; Chordata; Mammalia; Primates; Hominidae.
ACAAUGCUCAGCCUCAUUUCUUGCUAAUAAUUUUUAAAACCAACUCUAUAAGGUAGAGCCUGUCAUUUUUCCUGUUUUAUACAUGAAGAAAAUGAAACACGGAGUAGUUAAGUCACCUGCCUAUAAGGAAACUCAAUUAAUGAAUGGAGUAGCCAGGAUUUGAAUUCAGGUGUGACCAUAAAGGCCAUGUGCACCUUCUACUCACUCCACAGCCUCUGGAGUGGCUGUAUGAUUGUUGCAGCAUGGAAUACACCGGUUCUCUCCAUCCGCAAACCAAAAAGAUUGCAUUAUCAUAAUGUUUGGUCAGCUCCCCAUGGAAGCCCCCCAAAACCCAUUAAAGAAGCCCAUUCUCUAGGGCCCCAAUGAAUCUCACUAAGUAAAUUGCCUUUUGAAAGUAAAAGGAAAAUGAAACAUCUAUGGCCUCAAACUUUAUAUGAGCAAUAAUUCAGGAAUCUCUUUCAGAACCCAGAGAGGAAAGCUCCCCAUGGGAAGAAGGAGGGGUGUAGAAGUGUGAUUCCUGGGUGUAGAGCCAGAAACUCAUUAAUAUUUGUGGAAUCCUUGAAAGAGAAAAAGCACAGUUUGAACUGGAACAUUCCAAAGCAGUAAUUCAUUUCCCAAAUUAAUGUGCUGUGGUAUAAUCGUUAGGAAGAAGAGCGAGGGUCCGAGGGCCCUGCCGAUGUAGGAGAUAAAUCUCUGGGCUCCCGAAAUGUUUUUCAUUUUAAAAGUUCAAGUCAUCACUCAACAUGGGCCAGAGAAUACUAAGACCUUUGACAGUGAACCUCUUACAGGAUGGAGAAGCUGAGGCCUUAACUCACAAGGUUGUGCCUUUAUAAGGCAACAAAGCAAAAGCAAGUGUGUCAUAGAUGGAAACCUGUUUACCUAGAUCUCACCGACCUGUUGAGAGGAAAGGAGCCAACCUGGCCUGGUGACCUUCUCUGUGCAAGCAGGGAGCAGGCACACACCACCAAUGAGUGAAGAAGGCUGCUGUGGCAUGCUCGGGACCUAGAGGGAACCUGCCUCAUUGACAGGGGACAGCAGCUGCACAGCUCCAGACAAUCGUUGUCAAGGACGGGAAUGAGAUUCUAACAUGGCUGAUCUGAUUUUUCAAGAAAGGUGAAAGACCCAAAUUCAUGGAAGAGAAGUGAGUCACACAGGGAGCCAGUGGCAGAGCCACACCCCACAGAGCAAUCAACAUGCUCUACUCUGCAGACCUGCAACAGGGAGGGAAGCCAGACUCUGAUGCAAGAAGGAAAGACCAUGUGCUGGCUCAGUGUGUGCAGCCUGGACUGAGCUACUGAACUCUAAAUCCAAGGAUGACUAAUAGGCAGAAUGACAUUAAUACCAGACCUGAUGAAGACAGCACAAAAAGUAAAUCUCAACACAACCUCACAAUAUUAAUAAAGCAAAAAUUUUAAAUACA